GGGAUAUCUGCACCCUAGAGAAGGGCUUCUCCUUCGGGAGCAGAGUGACAGGUGGUGCAUGGUUGUCGUCAGCUCGUGUCGUGAGAUGUUGGGUUAAGUCCCGCAACGAGCGCAACCCUUGAUCUUAGUUGCCAUCAUUAAGUUGGGCACUCUAAGGUGACUGCCGGUGACAAACCGGAGGAAGGUGGGGAUGACGUCAAAUCAUCAUGCCCCUUAUGACCUGGGCUACACACGUGCUACAAUGGACGGUACAAAGAGCUGCAAGACCGCGAGGUGGAGCUAAUCUCAUAAAACCGUUCUCAGUUCGGAUUGUAGGCUGCAACUCGCCUACAUGAAGCUGGAAUCGCUAGUAAUCGCGGAUCAGCAUGCCGCGGUGAAUACGUUCCCGGGCCUUGUACACACCGA
This 405-nucleotide ribosomal RNA is filed under the name Bacillus sp. KNP13. Its description in RNAcentral is "bacterial SSU rRNA". It matches the Rfam family "Bacterial small subunit ribosomal RNA", at positions 984 to 1393 of the family's 1533-position model. Lineage: Bacteria; Bacillati; Bacillota; Bacilli; Caryophanales; Bacillaceae. The record is from RNAcentral.